Molecule: unclassified non-coding RNA, 238 nt
Filed under: Hevea brasiliensis (rubber tree)
Lineage: Eukaryota; Viridiplantae; Streptophyta; Magnoliopsida; Malpighiales; Euphorbiaceae
Source: RNAcentral
AAAAGUUUAUCAACCUGUUAGUUAAAUUUCAGUGGGAAAUGUUAGAUAAAGAAUUAAUUUCUUGACUUGAACAUUCUAAUUAAUGAAUGAUACUUAUUUAUAAACUAUCUAUUUUGUUAUAGUUCAAAUUUAAAGUUUGUGUUUAAACAUUAGCAUUUCAUAUAUUUUUGGGUCUUUUUUUCUUUUUUUGUGAGAGAGGGGUUUAGAUUACAAAGGUGUUUUUCUUUUUCUUUUUUUU